GAUGAAGAACGUAGCGAAAUGCGAUACUUGGUGUGAAUUGCAGAAUCCCGUGAACCAUCGAGUCUUUGAACGCAAGUUGCGCCCGAAGCCACUAGGCCGAGGGCACGCCUGCCUGGGCGUCACACGCCGUUGCCCCCCCAUCUACUCCUUCGGGAUUGCGGGGGGGCGGAUGAUGGCCUCCCGUGCGCCUAGCCGCGCGGUUGGCAUAAAUACCAAGUCCUCGGCGACGCACGCCACGACAAUCGGUGGUUGCGAAACCGCGGUUGCCCGUCGUGUGCGUUCGUCGCGCAUCGAGGGCUCGAAAAAAUGCUCGGCUCCGGCUGGGCUUUCAACGCGACCCCAGGUCAGGCGGGGUUACCCGCUGAAUUUAAGCAUAUCAAUAAGCGGAGGA
RNAcentral lists this unclassified non-coding RNA (391 nucleotides) under soil metagenome. Its description in RNAcentral is "partial contains 5.8S ribosomal RNA, internal transcribed spacer 2, and large subunit ribosomal RNA". The stretch from base 1 to 122 matches the Rfam family "5.8S ribosomal RNA", at positions 35 to 154 of the family's 154-position model. The record is from RNAcentral.